AUACUUACCUGGUGCUGGGCUUGCGGUGAUCAUUAAGGCCGCAGCCCCGUGCGGAGACCUUCCACCAUUACACUGCGGUUGGUUGAAGCGCGCCACAUCCCCAAAUCGGGGUUGGUGGAGCAUAUAAUUUUUGGUAGUGGGGCUCAGCGUUCGCGCCAGCCCUGC
Small nuclear RNA from Dermacentor silvarum, 165 nucleotides. RefSeq annotates it as U1 spliceosomal RNA. The record is from RefSeq and is a predicted model, not a curated record. The transcript has a single exon. Lineage: Eukaryota; Metazoa; Arthropoda; Arachnida; Ixodida; Ixodidae.